Molecule: long non-coding RNA, 2995 nt
Organism: Zeugodacus cucurbitae (melon fly)
Lineage: Eukaryota; Metazoa; Arthropoda; Insecta; Diptera; Tephritidae
Exons: 4
Source: RefSeq, a predicted model, not a curated record
CUGUCUACGUUCAUAACAAUUUAGUUGUAUUUAUACAUUUCAGACAAUUCGACUCAACUUUUGUGGAAAAUAAAUUCUUAUUUUGUAAACCGUUAAAUGUUUAUUGAAAUUUAUUGAAGUUACAGUCCUCCGAUUUAGAACUUGGAACGUCCUUUUAUCACAUUAACAUAUUUUAAAUUUAUUACUUUAACAAAUGCAAUAAACCACUCUUUCACUAUUUUCAGUAACCGAAAUCAUUAAAAAUUUAACGGAAAAGAAGAAACCCGACUUUCCUUCACUGCGAAAAUUACGCGAAAAUAAUGUGGAAUACAGCAAACAUAAAUAAUAUCACAUAAAUUCCAAACUAUAGUACGAGUAUACCCCCCAAUAACGAAAAAGGGAUACGAGAAACGCUUGUCAAGGAACCGCCAAAUGAAAUGUCACUGAUCCAUGCGAUGACACAAAUUACGCCGGAACGCGCAUAACUCAAAACAAUGUGAAGGAGGAGGCAGCCAACAAACGGCAGUCGGCAGUUGGCAGGCGACACUGCUUGAAAGCAGGGGCUGAAAAUCCAAAUGAGCGAAACGGAAAAAAACACACACAAAACGAUGAUGAUUUAUAAUUAGGCGAAUCCUUUGUAUGUAAUAACCGAGGCGGAAUUUUGCGGCAAAAUCACAAACGUUGACGUAUUACUUACACGCUUGAUGCGAUAUGUCUCAAUUUUGAUGAGUUGCGACGGAAACAACUGACUGGUGUUUACAACCACAUGAGAGUGUGUCUCUAAAGAUAAGUACGCUAAGCGGCAGCAAUAAAAAGUGGAAAAGCAAAUAAAAGCGGUUUCCACGGAUAUUAACUAACUGAGUCAAUUCGGAACUACAUAAAAAGCUGAGCUAAAGGCAUACAACAGCAACAGUACUGCAAUAAUAACUCAGUCAAUUACAAAUUGCGGUGAAAUAAAAAGCAAAUUAAAUACGAAUACGAAACAAAACACUAUGCCUGGCAGAUGCUUAUAAAUAAGCACAAACACAUAUGAGUGUCUGUGGCAUAAAAAACUCUAUCCAAACGAUAGCAGCACAAAAUAAAUCUGUCACAUCACAAGUGAUGCCAAUUUGUCACCAAACUUCAAACAUCACCCUAUCGCAAGCGCACACAAGUAGUAGCUAUAGUGAUCACAUCACUGACAUAAAAAACCACAAGCAACAUUAUAGCCGCUGUGGGGCCGCUCUGAGGGAUUGUUGUCUGUCAAAAUAAUGUGGGAUCGCAUAAAAAACGUGUGCGCCACAGAAAUUGCUACCCUUUAACUGAAGCUACUCAAUGAAAUGAACAAACAUAAACGCAGAGACCGAAAAACGCGUGGUACAACAACAACAACAACAAACAUAGAGUCACUGCCAGCGAAUGCGCCAAAGGAAGAUAAACGUAUAAUAAAAAGUGAAAUAUCAAGUGGGGAGUAGUAAAAAAAAAACAGAAACACACACACAAACAUACUCGAAACUGUCUGUAUAGCACCGAGAAGCGUCUACAUGCAUGUUGUUGUUGCAACAUUUGAAAAGGAUACACCUUGUGUUGCAUCGUUGCACAUGCGGCAUGCAACUCAAACUAAAUUAACUUAGACGUUGAAAAUGCCGCGACAGCAGCAAAAGAACGCAUAUAUAUAUACAUACAUACAUACAUCUAUCAAGCAAAAAAAAAAUGUGUUGCAGUUGUUGUUGCCUUGCAUUGUUUGCUCCAGUGGCACAACAACUAGACAGACACUUGGGUAUAAUAAAUGUGUGCUAUAAAAGAGAAGAGCAACAAUAAACAACUGAGGAUGCACUUAUAAAAUAAAAAAAACAACAACAAAAACACUAAAAAAUAGAAAAGAGAAUAGCAAAAGUUUACCGUUAUUGCAAACGUAUACUAUGUUAGCAAAUGUUAAAAAAGUCGAACGCACGGCGAAAAAGUUUGCGCAAACAUAAUAACCGUGAAAUAACUAAAUAUACAUACAUACACACACAUACAUAUAUAUAUGUCAUGUAUAUGGAGUCAGUUUCCGCACAAAGUGUUCAUUUUUUCAGACUUUUUGUUGCUUUUCCUUGCGGUGUGCGUGUGUAUGUGUUUGUGGUGUGGUUUCGCUUGCGGUUGCUCUUGUGGCUGCGCGCUUGUAGUUGUUUGCCUUCCCGGCUGUCAGCAGCAGCCGGCACUGUCAGCAUGAAUUAACGUUAUGUCAUUUGUGAGAAUGUUGGAAUUUUUAGUUUUUCAUACGGUUUAAAUGACUGCCUUCCACUGGCAGUCGAGUGGAAGUGGAAAUAUUCUGUGCAUACACAAAUUUUAUAUACAAGCAUAUACUACAAAAUAUACGAAUACGAAUUUGUGAGGAGCACAAUAUAAAAAGAACUAAAGAGUGAAAAUUUCCCUUCCCCCUUACAAAGGUUAUGUUGAAAACCGACGUUAAGUCACUAACGAAAAAUACCAGAAGCACUAAGCUAUAUAUAAAAUAUGGCACAGAAAAUCUGCACUAUGGUUAGUAUAAAAAUUUAAGAAUAAGCGUGGCACCGCCCACUUCUGGGUCAAAAGUCAUAUACUAUCAGGAACCAAUCUACAGGUUAGAAACGAAUUUUCUACGUAAUAUUUCUUUAAGAAUUAAGAAUUGUGAUGUUACGGUUUGUAAAUGGCUGAAAUCGGUUGACAACCAAUCCUACCCUAUAACACAAUUUUAAAUUCCAUCUGAUUCGUUUACUUUACAAUAUAUAAAUCAAACAUCAAUGAAGAUAUCGGAAUAAAACUGUGAAGUUUCAUCAUCGCUCAUCGUCAACGGACUAUAACUUUUCCAGACCCUCGAUAUCAAAUACAAAAACCUGAGUUUCUGCGAUUAAUUUCUAACGGAAAACAUUUGUAAAUCUUUCAUACAUAUAUUUUAAAGAAAAUCAGAGAGUUUAUGUUAUUAUAUUGUCCUUACUUAUUAAUAUCAAAUCUCGUCCCAUUCUCGGUUUCAAAAAAUCGAUUUUUUUUUAUUUAAUUCGAACCUAUGACUAUA